RNAcentral lists this ribosomal RNA (579 nucleotides) under uncultured bacterium. RNAcentral's name for it is "partial 16S ribosomal RNA". It matches the Rfam family "Bacterial small subunit ribosomal RNA", at positions 355 to 932 of the family's 1533-position model. The record is from RNAcentral.
UGGGGAAUUUUGGACAAUGGGCGAAAGCCUGAUCCAGCAAUGCCGCGUGUGUGAAGAAGGCCUUCGGGUUGUAAAGCACUUUUGUCCGGAAAGAAAUCCUUGGCUCUAAUACAGUCGGGGGAUGACGGUACCGGAAGAAUAAGCACCGGCUAACUACGUGCCAGCAGCCGCGGUAAUACGUAGGGUGCAAGCGUUAAUCGGAAUUACUGGGCGUAAAGCGUGCGCAGGCGGUUUGCUAAGACCGAUGUGAAAUCCCCGGGCUCAACCUGGGAACUGCAUUGGUGACUGGCAGGCUAGAGUAUGGCAGAGGGGGGUAGAAUUCCACGUGUAGCAGCGAAAUGCGUAGAGAUGUGGAGGAAUACCGAUGGCGAAGGCAGCCCCCUGGGCCAAUACUGACGCUCAUGCACGAAAGCGUGGGGAGCAAACAGGAUUAGAUACCCUGGUAGUCCACGCCCUAAACGAUGUCAACUAGUUGUUGGGGAUUCAUUUCCUUAGUAACGUAGCUAACGCGUGAAGUUGACCGCCUGGGGAGUACGGUCGCAAGAUUAAAACUCAAAGGAAUUGACGGGGUCAUAGCUG